UGUUUUAGCAUGAUUACAAUUAUGUCUGCAAAGAAAAUAUGGACUCUGGCUGUUUGUGUGGAGGAGAGACAAGAGGAGGAGGGAGUAAUUCCCACCUGUUGAUCAGGGGAAACCAAGUCAUGUGGCCUAAAGGCAUAAAUUCAAUUCGUGCCAUGAAGAACCUCGUGGAACCGGGGUGGAAAUGGCUGUCGUUUCCCCUGGUUAAAGUUAAACACCAGUCAAAUAAGAAAGAUGAAUGUGAAGAGUAUGAUUAUACGACUGCCGCAAAUGUCUCAGAUCUGAAUCCGAUUGUUCAGCUUCAACCCAAGGAAAGAGAAUUCCAAAGAAGAGAUUGUUUUCCGACUUCAUUACAGAUCACGAUAGUAUUCAGGACGUGGAGGAAGCUGAUGAUGCAAAUGAUGAAUUACAGAGAUCUGCCAAAUGCCCCAAAAGUGGAUUGAUUUCACGUCUUCCAUCGGUACCAAAAGAGUACAGCCACAUUCAAGGCAUGUUGGACUGGUCGAUUUGGCAAGAUAUUUGGCCUCCUGCAUGGAAGAUCAAUCACCCAUAUGGCAUCCACUCCGGUUCCUUCUCCACCGUCAUCUCCUGACACUUCUGUGACUUGUUCACAAAAGCCAAAGAGACAGUCACACUGGCAGGAAGAAAGCGUGAGGAGGUCAUGUGCCAGCCGUUAGUCGUCAGGGAAAGGUGCGAGCACAAGCAGGAGUCAAGGAUCAUCAAGGGCACCACACCUCCUCAAUGUAGACACUGAUCAACAAUCAGUACAACCCAUUGCCAGUUCAUCUAAACAGAAUGGUUUUCCCAUGUCCGAGGCUCGUUUUCAGAGAAGAGUUUUGUUUCUGCUGACUGAUAUUCGCAAUUCGCUGGAAAGUAUGCAGAAAAAUGCAGGCACUCAACAAUUGGAAAACACUGUGGAAAGAAUAAAUAUUUCACAAGCUGGCAGCUUAGAUGAGUUCCAAGCUAUGGAAACAAAGCUGGAACAAGAAAGCCAUCAAACU
This is a long non-coding RNA of Haliotis rubra (blacklip abalone), 998 nucleotides long. RefSeq lists it as uncharacterized. The transcript has 7 exons. Lineage: Eukaryota; Metazoa; Mollusca; Gastropoda; Lepetellida; Haliotidae. The record is from RefSeq and is a predicted model, not a curated record.